CAGUCGCCACGGGAAUACAGAGGAUGCAAGCGUUAUCAGGGAUGAUUGGGCGUAAAGCGUCUGUAGGUGGCUUUUCAAGUCCGCCGUCAAAUCCCAGGGCUCAACCCUGGACAGGCGGUGGAAACUACCAAGCUGGAGUACGGUAGGGGCAGAGGGAAUUCCCGGAAUAGCGGUGAAAUGCGUAGAGAUGUGGAGGAACACCAGUGGCGAAGGCGACUCUCUGGUCUGUAACUGACGCUGAGGAGCGAAAGCGUGGGGAGCGAACAGGAUUAGAUACCCCGGUAGUCCCUGUCUCUUAUAC
This 301-nucleotide ribosomal RNA is filed under the name uncultured bacterium. RNAcentral describes it as "partial 16S ribosomal RNA". It matches the Rfam family "Bacterial small subunit ribosomal RNA", at positions 509 to 807 of the family's 1533-position model. The record is from RNAcentral.